AUGGUUAAGUUAGAAAGGGCGCACGGUGGAUGCCUUGGCACUAGGAGCCGAUGAAGGACGGGACGAACACCGAUAUGCUUCGGGGAGCUGUAAGCAAGCUUUGAUCCGGAGAUUUCCGAAUGGGGAAACCCACUGCUCGUAAUGGAGUAGUAUCCAUACUUGAAUACAUAGAGUAUGAGAAGGCAUACCCGGGGAACUGAAACAUCUAAGUACCCGGAGGAAGAGAAAGCAAAUGCGAUUCCCUGAGUAGCGGCGAGCGAAACGGGAACAGCCCAAACCAAGAGGCUUGCCUCUUGGGGUUGUAGGACACUCUAUACGGAGUUACAAAGGAACGAUAUAAGCGAAGAGGUCUGGAAAGGCCCGCCAAAGAAGGUAACAGCCCUGUAACUGAAAUGUUGUUCUCUCCAGAGUGGAUCCUGAGUACGGCGGAACACGUGAAAUUCCGUCGGAAUCCGGGAGGACCAUCUCCCAAGGCUAAAUAC
This 482-nucleotide ribosomal RNA is filed under the name Bacillus pumilus. RNAcentral describes it as "partial 23S ribosomal RNA". It matches the Rfam family "Bacterial large subunit ribosomal RNA", at positions 1 to 473 of the family's 2925-position model. Lineage: Bacteria; Bacillati; Bacillota; Bacilli; Caryophanales; Bacillaceae. The record is from RNAcentral.